AUUUAUAUAGUUUAAUAUAAAACAUUAUAUUUUCAAUAUAAAAAUAAAUUUUAUUUUAUAAAUA
Molecule: transfer RNA, 64 nt
Filed under: Rhyzodiastes puetzi
Lineage: Eukaryota; Metazoa; Arthropoda; Insecta; Coleoptera; Carabidae
Description: tRNA-Glu
Source: RNAcentral